GAUGAACGCUGGCGGCGUGCCUAAUACAUGCAAGUCGAGCGAACGGACGAGAAGCUUGCUUCUCUGAUGUUAGCGGCGGACGGGUGAGUAACACGUGGAUAACCUACCUAUAAGACUGGGAUAACUUCGGGAAACCGUAGCUAAUACCGGAUAAUAUUUUGAACCGCAUGGUUCAAAAGUGAAAGACGGUCUUGCUGUCACUUAUAGAUGGAUCCGCGCUGCAUUAGCUAGUUGGUAAGGUAACGGCUUACCAAGGCAACGAUGCAUAGCCGACCUGAGAGGGUGAUCGGCCACACUGGAACUGAGACACGGUCCAGACUCCUAAGGGAGGCAGCAGUAGGGAAUCUUCCGCAAUGGGCGAAAGCCUGACGGAGCAACGCCGCGUGAGUGAUGAAGGUCUUCGGAUCGUAAAACUCUGUUAUUAGGGAAGAACAUAUGUGUAAGUAACUGUGCACAUCUUGACGGUACCUAAUCAGAAAGCCACGGCCAACUACGUG
Molecule: ribosomal RNA, 497 nt
Filed under: uncultured bacterium
Lineage: Bacteria
Description: partial 16S ribosomal RNA
Rfam family: Bacterial small subunit ribosomal RNA
Source: RNAcentral